GAAUUGAAAAAAUCUCUAUUCCUUUGCUCACGAUGAUAUUUUACCCGCAUAGUUGCGAGAACUGAAACGACGAGACUAAGAACUCCCUCUCCGUCUUACUGUCCGUGAGUUUAGUUGCCUGUGAUUGCAUGCCAUGUCGGCCUCGAAGCUCGUGAUUUAUUCAAUCUUUCUAGCCCUAAUUUUCACGCACAUUAGGGCUGAUGUUUCAAUCGGAGGAGAGCUAUCAGACAAUGAAGAGGAGAGCGUCAAGGUUGUCGGAUCGGAUGGCUAUGCUGAUUCGUCCGCUUUGAAGAUCGAACUGGACCAGCUCAAGUCCAAGAUCCAAACCCUUGAGUCCCACGUCGAUGAGAAAUCCAAAGAAUUGAAAGCAAAGGAAGAGGUUGUAGCAGAAAAGGAAAAAAUCAUUCAAGACAAGUCAAAUAGCAUUGCUUCCUUGCAAACUGAGAUCACAUCACUCCAGAAAAAAGGGUCGUUAGAUGCUGAGGAGCAGGUCGGAAAGGCUCAUGCACGUGCUGGUGACUUAGAGAAGCAGGUUGACAAACUUAAAAGGGAACUAGAAACGCAAAAUAAGGAGAAGAAGGCCUUGGAAGCCCGGGUAAAUGAAGCUGAGAAGAAAGUACAGGAGUUGAGUUUGAAAUUAGAGAAUCUCCUAAAGGUUAAUGAUGAACAGAAGACAAAAAUUCGUAAAAUUGAACGGGAUCUUAAAGUUGCUGAGGAAAAAAUGAUUAAGGCAAAGUCUGAGGUCACUUCAAAAGCUAAAGAGUUAAUGGAGGUUCAUGGUGCAUGGCUUCCACCUUGGCUUGCUGUACAUUUUGUCCGUUGCCAGUCCUUCAUGGAGACAUAUUGGAAUGAGCAUGGGAAACCAGCCAUAGAUUUGCUGAUUCAGAUGGCUGUGGAGAAAAAGGCACAAGCUGGAAAAUGGGCUGAACCUCACAUAGAAACAAUUAAAACUAAAUGGGUCCCGACUAUAAAGGAACAGUGGAUUGUGGUAAAAACAAAUGGUGAACCACAUGUCCAGUCACUAACUAAAAAAUGUAUUGAAGUUUAUGAGGCAUCAAAGAUUGCAGUUACUCCACAUGUUGUCAGAGUGCGAGAAUUUGUUGAUCCUUACUUCCAGGAAGCUAAAAGGGUCAGCAAGCCAUACAUUGAUCAGAUUGCUACUGUGACAAAACCUCAUGUUGAUCAAGUCCGGGUGACUAUAAAGCCCUAUAUAAAGGAAGCAAUUAAUGCUUAUGGGAAGUUUCUAAAGUCCGCAACUACUUACCAUCAUCAGAUUCAAGCCACUGUGCAAGAGAAGCUGAAAAGGCAUGAGCUGACGAGACCUCUUGCCACCAAAGAGUUGGAGUGGUUUGUGGCUUCUGCUUUGUUGGCCCUGCCCAUCAUCUUUCUCUUUAGAAUUGGUUCUGCUAUUUUCUGCAAAAAGGCAAAGAAACCUACUCGGAAUGCUCAUACCAACAAUGCACGUCGUAAGGCUAAACGGGUCCAUCCGGGCAACUAGAGUACAACCAGGUCAUCUGCUGGUUUUUUAAUAUUUGUUUUUAGUGGGGGGGAGGAGACUAUCUAAGAUGGGAGAUGCACUCUUCUGAUGUUAUUGAGAAUCCUGCCUUUGUCAUUGAACUACAAUGUUUUUGAAGAUUGCCUUUUUCUUUGUGAAGAAAAUUUUCAGAACCUUUGUCACACUUCAUAGUUAGACGUCCAAGAAGUCUAGAAAUUCUUGUAUCAUGGGCCGUGUUAUUUAUGUUGAUAGAGAUGUAAUCUUAAUUUUUCAUUUUUAUUUUUAUUUUUUUCUUUUUCAAAAUUUUUCAGGGUUCAAGAAUUCUGUCAUCGUCCUUAUAUUAUGUUCUGUUUGUUAGAACCAUAUUUUCUGUGCCUAUUAACGACGACAAUUGAACAUCAUAAUUUAUGUAUUUAUUUGAUCUUUUUCCUGUA
Molecule: RNA transcript, 1929 nt
Organism: Alnus glutinosa
Lineage: Eukaryota; Viridiplantae; Streptophyta; Magnoliopsida; Fagales; Betulaceae
Exons: 15
Source: RefSeq, a predicted model, not a curated record